Molecule: long non-coding RNA, 222 nt
Organism: Thalassophryne amazonica
Lineage: Eukaryota; Metazoa; Chordata; Actinopteri; Batrachoidiformes; Batrachoididae
Exons: 3
Source: RefSeq, a predicted model, not a curated record
GAGGAAUACAAGGAAUAUUUAGGUCACACUAUCAUGAAUAAACUCCCCCGCAACAAAGUGGGAAAAACAUUAAAACCCAAGACUGAUGAGCUGUUCUGCUGAACGCUGCCACCAGUUUAUCAUCUGAAUAUAAACGCAGACCACUUUUAAGUGCACUUGUGCAACCUGGCUUCAACUGGCUGUUGCAGUAAAGCAUGAAAGAAAGUUUUCAAAUAUCAACCU